Molecule: long non-coding RNA, 2401 nt
Organism: Acanthopagrus latus (yellowfin seabream)
Lineage: Eukaryota; Metazoa; Chordata; Actinopteri; Spariformes; Sparidae
Exons: 4
Source: RefSeq, a predicted model, not a curated record
CAAAUGUUUUCACCAGCUGUAUGAUGAAUGAUAUUUUUGUGCAACUUUUAUUCAACAGUUGUCCCAUACACUAAAUAUUGUCUAAUGACAAAAAAAAAAUAGCUAAAUGGUUCGACAGAUUUAACAAUGUCUAUUGUGUGUUUGCAUACAUGAAUACACUAGUCUUAAUGUGUAUUAUGUCUGGUAUUAACCUUCCCUUUCUCUUCUGAGUGCCUGUCACAACAGUGGCCUGGGAAUAAAAUCCAAACAAAAACAGCCAUCACUCACCCUGCUGCUCCUUUACAGCAGAUGUCACCACAGUCUGUUCAUGCAGUUACACAACUAAAAGAGAGGCGUGAAACUCUGACACCUGGUGGAGAGACGUUCAUCAUUACAGGUUGUGCAAUCGCCUGUUCUGUGUGUGUCUCAAAUGCAACCAGGCACCAGCGGCGAGGCUCCCCAGCAGGUAUGGCCCACAGCCUGCACUGUGUUGGAAUGCUGAAUGGAGAGGUGUUGCAGUUUGGUUCCUUCUUGCUGGGCUCCUCCUCUACUGUAAAGCCCACCUCCAUGUCAGAUUGCCAUCAAGAAAAGACCAGGACACAUAUCACCAGCAAGUGGCAGCAGAGAGAUUGCUUCAUGUCCAGCAGAGCCUCCAGUAGUCAACUGAAGACAGCAACAUAUUUACACUCUGCUCACAUUCAUCUCAUACAUGAGAUGGAAAGUCUCAUGUGUUUGUUUUUUCACAGGGCAGAAAGACAACGAGGCCGAGGAGCAGGAUUCUCACCGAGGUCAGACAGUUGUUCUGUGGACCACGGACAGUUUUCAUGUGAAAUGUGAUGAUUGCUGCAUGAUAUGUAACCACUCAGCAUUAUCUCUCCCAAGGUCAGAUCACAGAGUGUUAAGGAAAUUAUUCCCAAAGGUCAUCUAAAGAGUAAAUUCAUACACCCAGAAGAACAUGAACUGGUUUGAAACUUUUAAUUACAGAGGGCAGCGAAACGCUGCUUGUCAGUCAGGUGUUGGGUUACUCUUUAUGUAGUCGCUGAAAAUAAUUUCACAAAUGUUAUUAAAUAUUAACAUUGUUACAUCGGACAACAGAGGGUGAGCUAGGUGGCUUAGACUUUUUGGCACUAUUUGCCCUUACUGGAUUGAAGCAGAGAAGAAACAAGACUGCAGGGAACAGAGAGGGGCAACAACGGUCCAGCAUUUGUGAGCAUGCAGCACUUUUAUGGUCAUCACAAAUGAUCUAAACAGUACAUUUAAAUUAAAAGUAAUAACAUUCAGCACUGGUAUCAGAUAUACCCAAUGCAAGUUUAAGAGGUGUUUUAUAGUGGACUGAUGACUGUUUUUGUUUGUCGCCCAUUGGUGACAUGUCACCUACUUCAUGGUCUUGAGGUCUACUUUUCCGGCCUCUCUGAGACCAGCUGCCACGGCGCUGUUCCUCCCAGCUGCACUGCCGGAAACACAGAUGAGUCCACCCGCUUGUUCACAGCUUCUCUGUUACGUUGCUGCAUCUGUAGCUGUUGCUCAUGUAGUAAUGUGAGAAUUUGAGAAAACAUGCUGAUGGUGAAAUGCUUCAUGGAAAAGGACGUCAGUGUGAAACUUUUUUGAUUGACAGAGUAAUUUACUUCCACUCUGCUGCAUUUGGAGGCAAUCAUUGUACUAUUUACACCAAUAUAUUUGUCUCUGUACUACUUGUAGCAGUACAGGUGUUCGAGACUUGCUAUCUUUCUUUGUUUGGAGCUGAUUUUCAGGGAAUUCAGAUCACCUGUGGGCAGGGUGGAAAGACUCACUCCACCCUGUGGAGUGGAAGCAGCUUAGGACGUUUCCCUCCCAGCCAAUCAUGGUGUGACAACAACCUUUUUGUGAAGGAUUAAAAUGGGGGCGAAUGGCACACAGGAGGCUCUCACCCUCAUUCUGAACCUGGCCCUAACCCACUGAGAACCUCAUGCCCCUUACAGUGCCAGCCAGAAACUCUGUCUGCUUAGGGUUCCGUUCAGUCUUCCCUCAGCUGCCCACAACUUUCUAGUGAGGAAACUGUGUUUAUUUUGAAACCCCUUAAAACCCAACCCCCUAUACACCUUCAGUUUGACAUUUUAUUUCCCAUGGGGCUUGUAGAAGGCAUUUGUUUGUUAUCUGUUGUCCAAGUAGUGGACACUGGGCAUUUCCUCCUAGAUUUUCCUGUUUUUUGUUUAUAUUUUCAUGCAAGUUGGGCUGGCCCAUAAGCAUUGUACUGCCAGUACCACCACAUACUUACUGUACUUCAUAUAAUCAUUUUAUCUGGAAUUGGAUUUUUUUUAAAAAAAGAAAAACAACUUCAGAUAAUCAAAAAACUGCUGAGUAUCUAUUCAACUUCAUGCAUUUAUAUACAUGUGUAGUACUAUUCAUGUGUGUGAUUUUCUCUUUGACCAAAAUAAUAUUUUAA